UGGGGAAUAUUGGACAAUGGGCGCAAGCCUGAUCCAGCCAUGCCGCGUGAGUGAUGAAGGCCCUAGGGUUGUAAAGCUCUUUUGUGCGGGAAGAUAAUGACGGUACCGCAAGAAUAAGCCCCGGCUAACUUCGUGCCAGCAGCCGCGGUAAUACGAAGGGGGCUAGCGUUGCUCGGAAUCACUGGGCGUAAAGGGUGCGUAGGCGGGUCUUUAAGUCAGGGGUGAAAUCCUGGAGCUCAACUCCAGAACUGCCUUUGAUACUGAAGAUCUUGAGUUCGGGAGAGGUGAGUGGAACUGCGAGUGUAGAGGUGAAAUUCGUAGAUAUUCGCAAGAACACCAGUGGCGAAGGCGGCUCACUGGCCCGAUACUGACGCUGAGGCACGAAAGCGUGGGGAGCAAACAGG
Molecule: ribosomal RNA, 404 nt
Filed under: Pseudomonas sp.
Lineage: Bacteria; Pseudomonadati; Pseudomonadota; Gammaproteobacteria; Pseudomonadales; Pseudomonadaceae
Also listed under: 7 other names
Description: partial 16S ribosomal RNA
Rfam family: Bacterial small subunit ribosomal RNA
Source: RNAcentral